GGUCAAUGAUGACUAGUAAAAGGUCUGACACCCGAGGCCACCUCUCAACAGCCUAUGUCCCCAGCUGCUUGCUUCUCUCAUAAUGCUCUAGUAGUGCUGUCAUGGGCAAAAGCAGAAGCUGACAUGCAGUGAUGUCUCCAUUCUGUGUUCCCUGACAAGCACAGAGAAGACACUGGUUGGCAUCCAACAGCUUAGUCACCAAGGGAUUGAUUGUUGGGAGUGCUGGUGUCCUUGGAUAUGAUCUGACAUUUUAAGCUGAGACC
Non-coding RNA from Acomys russatus (golden spiny mouse), 263 nucleotides. RefSeq annotates it as small Cajal body-specific RNA 6. The record is from RefSeq and is a predicted model, not a curated record. The transcript has a single exon. Lineage: Eukaryota; Metazoa; Chordata; Mammalia; Rodentia; Muridae.